This 63-nucleotide transfer RNA is filed under the name Euborellia arcanum. RNAcentral describes it as "tRNA-Cys". Lineage: Eukaryota; Metazoa; Arthropoda; Insecta; Dermaptera; Anisolabididae. The record is from RNAcentral.
AGUUUAAUAGUUAAUAAAUAAUAUUAGAAUGCAAUUCUAAAGUAGUAGUGUUUACUUAAACUU